Non-coding RNA from Microcebus murinus (gray mouse lemur), 1091 nucleotides. NCBI's taxonomy places the organism in Eukaryota, Metazoa, Chordata, Mammalia, Primates, Cheirogaleidae. The record is from RefSeq and is a predicted model, not a curated record.
CUGAGCAUCCAAGUGAAAUGCUUCCAUGAAAUCAUCACUAUCGGUUACAGAGUCUAUCGCUCCUAUGAUCUGCCGUGGUUUAGAACACUGAGCUGGUACUUUCUACUGUGUGUAAACUACUUUUUCUAUGGAGAGACUGUAGCUGAUUAUUUUGCUACAUUUGUUCAAAGAGAAGAACAACUUCAGUUCCUCAUUCGCUAUCACAGAUUUAUAUCAUUUGCCCUCUAUCUGGCAGGUUUCUGCAUGUUUGUGUUGAGCCUGGUGAAGAAACACUAUCGUCUGCAGUUUUAUAUGUUCGCAUGGACUCACGUCACUUUACUGAUAACCGUUACUCAGUCACACCUUGUCAUCCAAAAUCUGUUUGAAGGCAUGAUAUGGUUCCUUGUUCCAAUAUCAAGUGUUAUCUGCAAUGACAUAACUGCUUACCUUUUUGGAUUUUUUUUUGGGAGAACUCCAUUAAUUAAGUUGUCUCCUAAAAAGACUUGGGAAGGAUUCAUUGGCGGUUUCUUUUCCACAGUCGUGUUUGGAUUCACCGCUGCCUACGUGCUAUCCAAGUACCAGUACUUCGUCUGCCCCGUGGAGUACCGGAGCGAUGUCAACUCCUUCAUCACCGAGUGUGAGCCCUCGGAACUCUUCCGCCUCCAGAGCUACGAGCUUCCACCCUUCCUGUAGGCGGUGCUGAGAUGGGAGACGGUGAGCCUGUACCCUUUCCAGAUACACAGCGUUGCCCUCUCGGCAUUCGCCUCCCUAAUCGGCCCGUUUGGAGGCUUCUUUGCCAGCGGAUUCAAAAGGGCUUUCAAAAUCAAGGAUUUUGCAAACACCAUCCCUGGACACGGUGGGAUAAUGGACAGAUUCGACUGUCAGUAUUUGAUGGCAACUUUUGUGCACGUGUACAUUACAAGUUUCAUAAGGGGCCCAAAUCCCAGCAAAGUGCUGCAGCAGUUGCUGGUGCUGCAGCCCGAGCAGCAGCUGAACAUCUACAGGACCCUGAAGACGCACCUCAUCGAGAAGGGCCUCCUGCAGCCCGCCCUGAAGGUCUGAGCGGCCUGGAGGGGCGCGCCGGCCAGGAGGGACUCCCCAGAGCGGCACCG